Molecule: RNase P RNA, 371 nt
Filed under: Weissella ceti
Lineage: Bacteria; Bacillati; Bacillota; Bacilli; Lactobacillales; Lactobacillaceae
Description: RNase P RNA component class B
Rfam family: Bacterial RNase P class B
About the family: Ribonuclease P (RNase P) is a ubiquitous endoribonuclease, found in archaea, bacteria and eukarya as well as chloroplasts and mitochondria. Its best characterised activity is the generation of mature 5'-ends of tRNAs by cleaving the 5'-leader elements of precursor-tRNAs.
Source: RNAcentral
GUUGGUGGGUAAUUGCGUGUUGCUUUAAGCAGCAUGAGGAAAGUCCAUGCUCGCACUGACUGUGAUGUCAGUAGUGUUCGUGCUAGCUGAAAAAAUAAGGCUAGGCAGCUUGUAAAAGUUGACGGCCAACGAACAACCUAACGGCUUGCCUAUGGUUUAAUAGUUGUGAAAGUGCCACAGUGACGAACCAAUCAAGAAAUUGAUUGGGUGGAACGCGGUAAACCCCUCGAGCGGGCAACCCAAACUUUGGUAGGGGCGCUUGACCUAGCGAAUUGAAGUGAUGGUCGGGGAGACAGUAAUGUCUGAGAUAGAUGAUUACCACUGUAAAUAGUCUGCCACAUUAUUUGCAGAACAAAACAUGGCUUACAGCU